AAUAAAUGUCAGAAUAUCACAGACAGGGUUUCCAUAACUUCACUAAAAUAGAGUGAACUGACACAUUCAUAGUUGCUUAAAGCCAAAAGAUGAUAUGCAAAAUUAUUUGAUAGUGCCAAACAAGACAGACAUUCUAAGAAUGUAAGAGGUUCUUCAAUACUCCAGUGCACUUAGUAGAGUCACA
Molecule: long non-coding RNA, 184 nt
Filed under: Capra hircus (goat)
Lineage: Eukaryota; Metazoa; Chordata; Mammalia; Artiodactyla; Bovidae
Description: lncRNA (ENSCHIG00000004312.1)
Source: RNAcentral